RNAcentral lists this long non-coding RNA (383 nucleotides) under Coffea arabica (coffee). RNAcentral's name for it is "long non-coding RNA (CARA_LNC001302)". Lineage: Eukaryota; Viridiplantae; Streptophyta; Magnoliopsida; Gentianales; Rubiaceae. The record is from RNAcentral.
GGGGGAUUUAGGGACGGAAGAAAUGAUGCAGGUGGAAAAUGAUGCACAGGAGAGGAAACAAGUGGCUGUCCAAAGGAUCAACAUAAGGAUUAGAAGACAGCUUAAGCCCUCCCCAGUAGGAAGAGGACUCCUUUAGGUGAAGUGGAUGGAAAUGUUAGGAGAAUGGAGGUUAGAGGCAAGAGAAAAAGUUACCACGAAGAUACUGAGAUGGAAGAAGCUGGGGAUGAGUUGUUGAACUUAAAAAGGAAUAAACUUGAUUAAUCUUUGGAAAUAAGGUUAGAAAUUGCUGAUGGUGGGAAGGGGACCAGCGUAAGUAGGUCCUCCCACAAGCAAUAAGAGUGCUGGUGUGGAAUUGUCAAGGUGUAGGAGCCAUUUGACAAUUC